CAGUCGCCGCGGUAAUGCGUAGGUGGCAAGCGUUGUCCGGAAUUAUUGGGCGUAAAGGGCUCGCAGGCGGUUUCUUAAGUCUGAUGUGAAAGCCCCCGGCUCAACCGGGGAGGGUCAUUGGAAACUGGGAAACUUGAGUGCAGAAGAGGAGAGUGGAAUUCCACGUGUAGCGGUGAAAUGCGUAGAGAUGUGGAGGAACACCAGUGGCGAAGGCGACUCUCUGGUCUGUAACUGACGCUGAGGAGCGAAAGCGUGGGGAGCGAACGGGAUUAGAUACCCGAGUAGUCCCUGUCUCUUAUAC
This 301-nucleotide ribosomal RNA is filed under the name uncultured bacterium. RNAcentral's name for it is "partial 16S ribosomal RNA". It matches the Rfam family "Bacterial small subunit ribosomal RNA", at positions 509 to 807 of the family's 1533-position model. The record is from RNAcentral.